UCCGGCGUGGUCUAGUGGCUACGAUAUCUGGCUUUCACCCAGAAGGCCCGGGUUCGAUUCCCGGCGUCGGAA
This 72-nucleotide transfer RNA is filed under the name Dermacentor silvarum. Its description in RNAcentral is "transfer RNA glutamic acid (anticodon UUC)". It matches the Rfam family "tRNA". From Rfam's summary of the family: Transfer RNA (tRNA) molecules are approximately 80 nucleotides in length. Lineage: Eukaryota; Metazoa; Arthropoda; Arachnida; Ixodida; Ixodidae. The record is from RNAcentral.